CGGGGAGUGGCGCAGCCUGGUAGCGCACCUGCUUCGGGAGCAGGGGGCCGGAGGUUCGAAUCCUCUCUCCCCGACCA
RNAcentral lists this transfer RNA (77 nucleotides) under Acidisarcina polymorpha. Its description in RNAcentral is "tRNA-Pro". It matches the Rfam family "tRNA". Rfam says of the family: Transfer RNA (tRNA) molecules are approximately 80 nucleotides in length. Their secondary structure includes four short double-helical elements and three loops (D, anti-codon, and T loops). RNAcentral also lists the same sequence under 1 other name. The record is from RNAcentral. Lineage: Bacteria; Pseudomonadati; Acidobacteriota; Terriglobia; Terriglobales; Acidobacteriaceae.